UUGCUUUGGCAGCAUAUAUACUAAAAUGAGAAUGAUACUAAGAAGAUUAGCAUGAUUCCUGCACAAAAUGACACCCAAAUUCAUGAAGUGUUCCAUAUUUUU
Small nuclear RNA from Sarcophilus harrisii (Tasmanian devil), 102 nucleotides. Lineage: Eukaryota; Metazoa; Chordata; Mammalia; Dasyuromorphia; Dasyuridae. The record is from Ensembl.